AUAACGACUCUCGGCAACGGAUAUCUCGGCUCUCGCAUCGAUGAAGAACGUAGCGAACUGCGAUACUUGGUGUGAAUUGCAGAAUCCCGUGAACCAUCGAGUCUUUGAACGCAAGUUGCGCCCAAAACCUUUGGUCGAGGGCACGUUUGCCUGGGUGUCACA
This 162-nucleotide ribosomal RNA is filed under the name Eucalyptus cylindrocarpa. RNAcentral describes it as "5.8S ribosomal RNA". It matches the Rfam family "5.8S ribosomal RNA". From Rfam's summary of the family: 5.8S ribosomal RNA (5.8S rRNA) is a component of the large subunit of the eukaryotic ribosome. It is transcribed by RNA polymerase I as part of the 45S precursor that also contains 18S and 28S rRNA. The record is from RNAcentral. Lineage: Eukaryota; Viridiplantae; Streptophyta; Magnoliopsida; Myrtales; Myrtaceae.